RNAcentral lists this ribosomal RNA (253 nucleotides) under uncultured bacterium. Its description in RNAcentral is "partial 16S ribosomal RNA". It matches the Rfam family "Bacterial small subunit ribosomal RNA", at positions 524 to 776 of the family's 1533-position model. The record is from RNAcentral.
UACGUAGGGCGCAAGCGUUAUCCGGAAUUAUUGGGCGUAAAGAGCUCGUAGGCGGUUUGUCGCGUCUGCCGUGAAAGUCCGGGGCUCAACUCCGGAUCUGCGGUGGGUACGGGCAGACUAGAGUGCGGUAGGGGAGAUUGGAAUUCCUGGUGUAGCGGUGGAAUGCGCAGAUAUCAGGAGGAACAUCGAUGGCGAAGGCAGAUCUCUGGGCCGUAACUGACGCUGAGGAGCGAAAGCGUGGGGAGCGAACAGG